UACGGAGGGUGCAAGCGUUGCUCGGAAUUAUUGGGCGUAAAGGGUAGGUAGGUGGUCUCAUUUGUCUGGGGUGAAAGCCUUGAGCUUAACUCAAGAAGUGCCCCAGAAACGGUGAGACUAGAGUCUUGGAGAGGGUCGUGGAAUUCCCGGUGUAGCGGUGAAAUGCGUAGAGAUCGGGAGGAACACCAGAGGCGAAAGCGGCGACCUGGACAAGUACUGACACUCAACUACGAAAGCGUGGGGAGCAAACAGG
This 253-nucleotide ribosomal RNA is filed under the name uncultured bacterium. RNAcentral's name for it is "partial 16S ribosomal RNA". It matches the Rfam family "Bacterial small subunit ribosomal RNA", at positions 524 to 776 of the family's 1533-position model. The record is from RNAcentral.